GAUGAACGCUGGCGGCGUGCUUAACACAUGCAAGUCGAACGAUGAAGCCCAGCUUGCUGGGUGGAUUAGUGGCGAACGGGUGAGUAACACGUGAGUAACCUGCCCUUAACUCUGGGAUAAGCCUGGGCAACUGGGUCUAAUACCGGAUAGGAGCGCCUACCGCCUGGUGGGUGCUGGAAAGCUUUAUCGGUUUUGGGUGGACUCGCGGCCUAUCAGCUUUUUGGUGAGGUAAUGGCUCACGAAGUCGACGACGGGUAGCCGGCAUGAGAGGGUGAACAGCGACCCUGGGACUGAGACACGGCGCAGUCUGCUACGGGAGGCAGCAGUGGCGAGUCUUGUCCAAUGGGUGCGCGCCUGAUGAGGCGGCGCUGCGUGAGGGAUGCCGGCCUUCGGGUUGUAAACCUCUUCCAGUAGGGAAGAAGCGGAAGUGACGGUACCUGCAGAAGAAGCACCGGCUAACUACGUG
This 466-nucleotide ribosomal RNA is filed under the name uncultured bacterium. RNAcentral describes it as "partial 16S ribosomal RNA". It matches the Rfam family "Bacterial small subunit ribosomal RNA", at positions 28 to 507 of the family's 1533-position model. The record is from RNAcentral.